GACGAACGCUGGCGGCGUGCUUAACACAUGCAAGUCGAACGCUGAAGACCUGGCUUUUGUUGGGUUGGAUGAGUGGCGAACGGGUGAGUAACACGUGAGUAACCUGCCCUCUUCUUUGGGAUAACGCCCGGAAACGGGUGCUAAUACUGGAUAUUCACUGAUCUUCGCAUGGGGGUUGGUGGAAAGGUUUGUUCUGGUGGGGGAUGGGCUCGCGGCCUAUCAGCUUGUUGGUGGGGUGAUGGCCUACCAAGGCUUUGACGGGUAGCCGGCCUGAGAGGGUGACCGGUCACAUUGGGACUGAGGUACAGACCAGACUGCUACGGGAGGCAGCAGUGGGGAAUAUUGCACAAUGGGCGAAAGCCUGAUGCAGCGACGCCGCGUGAGAGAUGGAGGCCUUCGGGUUGUAAACCUCUUUCGCUCAUGGUCAAGCCGCAACUGUGGGUUGUGGUGAGGGUAGUGGGUAAAGAAGCGCCGGCUAACUACGUG
RNAcentral lists this ribosomal RNA (486 nucleotides) under uncultured bacterium. Its description in RNAcentral is "partial 16S ribosomal RNA". It matches the Rfam family "Bacterial small subunit ribosomal RNA", at positions 28 to 507 of the family's 1533-position model. The record is from RNAcentral.